AGAUAAUCUGGUUAAAUUAGGCAAUCGUGCAAUCAUUGUGUUUUAUUACCAUCAUCAGGCAGGAUUUAGUUGGCUUUCGUAUCCUGGAUCUUACAGUCCACAACAAAUCGGGGAGAAACGAAGGUGGUUCGAAUCAGGACUAUGUGUCCGAUGAGAUUGCCUUCUCGUGCACCUCAUGGAGCUCGAAUCCGGUCACUUGUCGGUUCAAUUGGUGCCAGGAAUGGUCUUUUUCUCGGCUUUGGAAGGUGGGGCGGUAUUGAUGGCGAGGCUCGAGUACAGUGGCAGGGGAACAUUGGAUAUAGAUUUGGCUCUGGAUGGAUAUGGACUGCCUCUCAGGCGCCCCUUUCAUACAUCAGUUCGUGGAGCGGGGGUAUUUUAUGCAAAGGUGGCUGACUCUUCCCAGGUCGUCCUUGGGGUGCCUUUUGCGUGUGAGGCUUCCAUCAUCCGGGUCGUCAGCAAAGGCAAGGUUGUGGUGUUGGAUUCCUGCAGCAGGGAAAAACAGCUUAACCAGGCUCUCUCGUUGCUGCUGUUGUUGUUGCUGCUUACUGUCUGCACCGAUUGUGAAGGCCUUUCCAUGUGAUCGAUCAAAUCCACCAUAAGUACUUGGUGGGAUUUGGUAUUGGUUAUGGGCGGCUUCUCCGCUGGCAGCUGUUUGGACAAGUCAGAGCACAUCUCAGGCAGAGGAACUAUGUCCUAGGCGUCUAUAAAGCUAGAGAAGAGGCGCUCCAACCGAGAUCCAACGCUACUGAUACUGGUGUGUAAAAGAGCAUCGCGCAGGCAGAGGUAGCUAUGCUAAGUUGACCACUUGGUAAUGGUAUCAUCAAGGCAGACAGAACAGGCACAGAGCCGAUGUGGCAGUGCAGUCCCGUGGAGUUUCAACCCUCCGUAUCCAUCCACGUGCAUUGCGCACAGGGGACGUGUACCUUGUGAGUCCACGAAAAGGAAUACUUACGCAGGAGCAGCAGCAGCAGCAACGGUGUGUCUGUGGUGGGGGUGGUGGUGAUAUCGGCUGUCGUAAUGAGGCUUUGAAAGGCUUCAUACUCCUGCCUAGGCCAGAUCAUCUCUCUAUCUCCAAUUCUAGCUAUAGCACUAGGGGUACCUUUGGGAAUCUGGGAAUUUGGGAGUGCCAGGGGCCAGCCAGAGGAGGGAGAGAGGGAGGGAGGGAGGGAGGAAAGGAAUAUAAACAGCAUAUAGAUAGAUAGAAUAGCAGGAAGUAAGCAGGGACUUGAAGGGAGAGCUCUCCCUCUCUCUCUUUGCAUCUCGGAGGGGAAAAGUAACAGCAGCAGCAGCAGGAUAGCAGCAGCAGCAUUACAGGAAGUCGUCACUCGUGGGUUUUAUGGCAGAUAAGUUGCUGCUGGAAUUAUGAUUCUGCCUUCCAAGGCACUCAUUGCGGUGUUGUCUCUCGGGAAGCUAAAGUCAGCGAACUCGGUGACUUGUGGUGGUACUGGUGGUGGUACCUCGGGUGUGCAAUUAUCUUCGGGCCUGACGGGUUGAGAAAGACAAAAGCGUCACCGCCAAGCAGGGAGCGCCACCUACACAGACACAGUGCCUCGGAGUUUGGAACCUUUUCUCUUUACUUUCAUGGAAGAAGCGCUUGAUCGAGAGAGCGAGAUUCGAGAGACAACGGAGAAAGAAAAGCAUCGUUGGAAGAUGGAGGAGAAUCCGGCCUGCCUCAGCUGGAGCCACAUUCACUCGGGAGAUAAGUGUGGCUUUUGGUUUUUUCUUUUUUGUUCUUCCCGAAUUUGACAGCCAGGAACCAGUCCGUGCUCCGUGACAAUGCGAUGGGAUGCGAUGUGAUCCUUCGCUACUGAACCCAUUGAGAAAGAGGCACGAAUUUUUUGAUAGCGUUCUUUCUUUCGCAAGGUACCAGCUUGUUGGUGCUAUUCUUUUUAAGCGUCGUUAUAUCGUGAAAGCAAAAGUUAAUUCUUUCACACUGUGACGUUGUCGCCCGCGAAGAGAGAAAUAAAAGAAACGCGAAUCCAACAAAGAUUCUUUAGUCA
Long non-coding RNA from Selaginella moellendorffii, 2000 nucleotides. RefSeq lists it as uncharacterized. NCBI's taxonomy places the organism in Eukaryota, Viridiplantae, Streptophyta, Lycopodiopsida, Selaginellales, Selaginellaceae. The transcript has 6 exons. The record is from RefSeq and is a predicted model, not a curated record.